Molecule: RNA transcript, 2508 nt
Organism: Pipra filicauda (Wire-tailed manakin)
Lineage: Eukaryota; Metazoa; Chordata; Aves; Passeriformes; Pipridae
Gene: EEF2KMT
Gene name: eukaryotic elongation factor 2 lysine methyltransferase
Exons: 9
Source: RefSeq, a predicted model, not a curated record
UGCCCGGCCCUGCCCGGCCCUGCUCGGCCCUGCCCGGCUCUGCGCCGCCGGGGCCAUGUCCGGGCCCGAGCCGGGGCUGCGGCUCCGCUUCCAGCGGCGGUUCCUGGCGGCGCGGCCGCUCCGGUCGCUGCCCUGGCCGGAGCUGGAACAAAACCUGCGGGCUGCGCCGGACUCGCCCCUGCUCCGGGAUAUCCUGCACCAGACCAUCCUCCACCCUCUGUGUGUGAAAUAUCCCCCCUCAACCAAGUACAGGAGGUGCUUUCUGACUGAGCUCAUCAAAAAGCACGAAUCCACAGCAGCUGAACCCCUGGAUGAACUGUAUAAUACACUGGCAGAUGUUUUAAAAGAAGAAGAAUCUACUCAGUGUUACAAAAACUACUUACUGCCCACAGGAGACUGUGUGACCCUUUCUGAGAGCACAGCCAUGAUCUCUGGGGGCACCACGGGGCUCGUCACGUGGGAGGCUGCUCUGCACCUCGCCGGGUGGGCAGGGGGGAACCCCGAGGUGUUCAGGGCCAGGACAGUCUUGGAAUUAGGAAGUGGGAUUGGCUUCACUGGAAUUGCCAUCUGUAAGACCUGCCAACCCAAGACAUACAUAUUUAGUGACUGCCACCCCUGUGUUCUCAGACAGCUGGGAGAGAACAUCCGUCUCAAUGGCUUCCAAGUGACCUGGUGUAUCCAAACAGAGCCCCAAGGGCAGGAGGUGGAAGCAAAGAACUGCCAAACCCCAAAACUGAUGGUUGCAGAACUUGACUGGGGCUCAGUGGCAGAGGAACAGCUGGUGGGUCUCCAGCCUGACGUUGUCAUCGCAGCAGAUGUGGUGUAUGAUCCAGAGAUAAUUUUAGCCCUCAUUGGGAUGCUACAGAAACUCUCCACCUCGAGAGCAGACAGAAAAGCUCCCGAGGUCUUCAUUGCCUUCACACUCCGUAACCCAGACACGUAUCACCUCUUCCAGGCUGAACUGGAUAAAGUCGGGAUCAGGUGGCAGAUUAUUCCAGCCCACGGCAACAGUAAUUUUCUCUAUGAUGUGCAGCCAAAUGUAACUAUUCUCCAGCUAUUUAUAUAGGCUUGGCAAAUAGAAUUGGAAUUUUGAGACCAACAGGAGCCAUGUCAUCCUUGCAACAAGAUUAUCCUGAGUUCUGGAAGCACACACCAGAGGUGCUGGACUGUACACACGGGCUGUUGUCAAUGUGAGUUGUCUCUUCCUGUAAUUUCCAGCAUGUCUGCAAAGAAGCUGCUGCCCCUGAAAAGAGUGACCCUGAAAAUAAGCUGGAACGUGCACAGGCAGCUGUAUUUCAGCACAGAAGAAACAAAGGGUGCAAAGAACAGGCUAAAACAGCAACAGGUACCAAGCCAACUUUUUGGGAUAACAGCGAAUAGCCAGAGAAAUUCAACAUUUUUGCUGGAAUGAGUCAAAGCCACGAGUCUCCUGUCACCAACCAAGCACUCAUUGCUAUAUUCUACCAGGUUCUGUGCACAGUCUGUAUCAGUUCUCUGCCCCUGUGCCAAGUUGUUUUUCACACAUUCUCCAGCCUGUUUCAUCACCCACUAUUUACCAAGCAGAAGAGGGUAAUCCUCAGCUUCCAGCCACGGUGUACAGAUCUGGAUAUGUUUAAAGUGCAGUUUCUGUAUCAGUCCAUUGUAGUAGUCUUUUAGAGGUCCUUUACCUGUUUAAAACAGAAAAGAAAAAUAUUUAGUAGUUUUUCAUCAAGCUGACUGAAAAUAGUGUGGUCUGUGAAUUUUACUGCACAGCUGCUGAGCUCCUGUUGCAUCAGGUACGUCCAAAAGGACACCACACAUGAUCCUCCAAAAGACACAUAAACAUCCAAGUCCCUUUCAAAGUGAUGUGUACCUAGAGUUUAAACUGUUCUGAACAUGGAGCAGUGCAGAACUGUAGUAGGGACAGGGAGUAGAGAGGGAGGUCAAGAGCUUCUCCUCUGAAAAUGUGCCAUGAUUACAUCGUGUGGGUUCAACUAUAAAUUCAACUAUAAGUUACCAUUCUUAUAACCAGAACUAAAGACAACAGUCUCUUCUCACCAUCAGAAGAGUCAGCAGGGAACAAAAGUGAAAAUGAAUGUUCUGUAUCAGCACUGAAAGAAUUGCAACACAAGCAGACCCUUACCUGUUAUCACACACACCAGAGCUGGAAGCUUGGCUCCCUCAUCAAUAAACCUCUCGUAGUCUGGAGAAGAUAAAACACUGCUUGGAGGCCACAAAUACACAGAUGGUUGGUUAACAGUGGUCACAGUGUAUUAAUUAUUUAGCCUCCUACUGCAAGUAAUUUCUUUACAGGCAUGUACUUAGUAAAACAGUAGUAAAUUCAGCAAUGUUAAAAUUUACAAACUUGUACAGAAAUAAAUCAUGCUCUGUUUAUGCAGCAAGCAUUUGCUCAACUGCCCCACAAUCAGCUGCUUCAAUAGAUCAAUUUACAAUUGCCAGCUGCAAAGCCUACAAAAUAAGACAAAGUAUUCCCUUCCUUCCUAUUAGCAGCUGCCUAUGGAGAGUAUC